GAUGAACGCUGGCGGCGUGCUUAACACAUGCAAGUCGAACGAAGCACUUUAUUUGAUUUCCUUCGGGACUGAUUAUUUUGUGACUGAGUGGCGGACGGGUGAGUAACGCGUGGGUAACCUGCCUUGUACAGGGGGAUAACAGUUGGAAACGGCUGCUAAUACCGCAUAAGCGCACAGCAUCGCAUGAUGCAGUGUGAAAAACUCCGGUGGUAUAAGAUGGACCCGCGUUGGAUUAGCUAGUUGGUGAGGUAACGGCCCACCAAGGCGACGAUCCAUAGCCGACCUGAGAGGGUGACCGGCCACAUUGGGACUGAGACACGGCCCAAACUCCUACGGGAGGCAGCAGUGGGGAAUAUUGCACAAUGGGCGAAAGCCUGAUGCAGCGACGCCGCGUGAGCGAAGAAGUAUUUCGGUAUGUAAAGCUCUAUCAGCAGGGAAGAUAAUGACGGUACCUGACUAAGAAGCACCGGC
This 471-nucleotide ribosomal RNA is filed under the name uncultured bacterium. RNAcentral's name for it is "bacterial SSU rRNA". It matches the Rfam family "Bacterial small subunit ribosomal RNA", at positions 28 to 497 of the family's 1533-position model. The record is from RNAcentral.